Homo sapiens (human) is the source of this 1379-nucleotide long non-coding RNA. Ensembl annotates it as peptidylprolyl isomerase E like (pseudogene). Its record names the gene PPIEL. Lineage: Eukaryota; Metazoa; Chordata; Mammalia; Primates; Hominidae. The record is from Ensembl.
GGAAGCAAGAUGGCGGCCGCCGAGAGGGUUCACAAAGGGUAGGGUGGUGUGGAGCAAGGCAGGGUCCUCGCAGGCAGUGCCAAGAUUGAGCUGGGGGUGGGCAGAGUGGGCGGGGUGCGGACCCAUGGCCCUACGCAUCCUGGGCCAGGUCUCUUGUGGUGCUUCACGCUCUCGACCUGUGAGUGGUGCCUGCUAGAGCUGCCCAGAUCCCUUUUCCCUACCCCUUCUGACCCUGGACCCAGAGUGGUGGUUGCGAUCUGCUACCGUGACGUCAGCCCUCAUUCGUUCGUUCCACAAACUCCACAGCUCUGGUCCAUUAGAGGAAGGAGGUCCCAGAAUAGCUGGGAAAUUACGAGAACAGCCUCACUGCACGAGUUGGUGAAUGCUGUGAUGGCGAUUGUAUGAUGGACGGUGAUGUUGAAACCAGACUGGGGAAUGACCGCCCCAUCCGGAGAGAAAAGCACCAAGGAUUCUCUUUUGUUGAAUUUGAGUUGGCAGAGUUUGGUCAGAUGAAGACUGGGUGGAGAAGUUUGCUGGGAAGAGGAUAAAGAGGAAGGUGGUUGAGACUUCCCAAAGCAGAAAGCCAGGAGCGCAGCCCAUUUACUGCCUUCUCCAGGAAGCUUUUCUGAAUCCUCCAGUGAGUAAGGGAGAGCCCACUGCUAAAAAAGGCCUAGUCAAAUCCUCAGGUGUACAUGGACAUCAAGAUUGGGAACAAGCCGGCUGGCUGCAUCCAAACCCUCCUGCGUUCCGACGUCGUGCCCAUGACCACAGAGAAUUUUCUCUACAUGUGCACCCAUUUAAAGGACUCGGCUUCAAGGGAAGCAGCUUCCACCGCAUUAUCCCCCAGUUCAUUUGCCAGGGCAGUGAUUUCACAAACCACGGUGGCACCAGGGGCUGGUCUUGUAUUCCUGGACUCAAGUGAUCCUCCUGCCUUGGCCUGCCAAAGUGCUGGGAUUACAGGCGUGAGCCACGGUGCCUGGCCCCAGGCCUUUUAGACUGAACUCAGACAUCACCUCCUUCAGAAAGCCUUCAUGAUGAGUGUUUGUGUCUGCGCAGGCAUGGCACUAAGUGUCCCAUGGCACAUUUGGCCCUCAUGGAGGCCUCAAAAGGGCAGGACCAGCACCCUCUUCUACGGAGGAAGGAACGGGCACAGCAGAAACAAGGAGAGUCAGCAAUUACCAGCCAGCCAAGGUCCUGGAAGCUGACGUAGAGCUCGUGCCGACGGCAGACCUGCCGGCCGUGGGAGCCGCGGACGUCAUCUGCAGGGACAGAAGGGGCAAGGUCUUUUCUGGGGUUCCUGCUGUGUGCAGCUACUAUGGGGUACCAGGGUGGGGGAUGCCCUGAUGAGCACAUUUGUCAAAUAAAUGAAUGACAGGAAA